GAUGAACGCUGGCGGCGUGCCUAAUACAUGCAAGUCGAGCGAACAGACGAGGCGCUUGCUCCUCUGACGUUAGCGGCGGGCGGGUGAGUAACACGUGGAUAACCUACCUAUAAGACUGGGAUAACUUCAGGAGACCGGAGCUAAUAUCGGAUCAGAUAUUGAACCGCAUGGUUCAUUGGAGAAAGCCGUAUUUGCUGACCCUAAUAGAUGUAACCGCGCCGGAUUAGCUAGUUGGUAAGGUAACGGCUUACCAAGGCAACGAUGCGUAGCUGAUCUGAGAGGGUGAUCAGCCACACUGGAACUGAGACACGGUCCAGACUCCUACGGGAGGCAGCAGUAGGGAAUCUUCCACAAUGGGCGAAAGCCUGACGCAGCAACGCCGCGUGAGUGAAGAAGGUCUUCGGAUCGUAAAGCUCUGUUAGUUGGGAAGAACGACAGUGUAUGAAACCAUGCCCGUCUUGACGUUACCUAAACAGAAAGCCCCGGCUAACUACGUG
This 497-nucleotide ribosomal RNA is filed under the name uncultured bacterium. Its description in RNAcentral is "partial 16S ribosomal RNA". It matches the Rfam family "Bacterial small subunit ribosomal RNA", at positions 28 to 507 of the family's 1533-position model. The record is from RNAcentral.